RNAcentral lists this ribosomal RNA (349 nucleotides) under Glomus sp. (unid). The record is from RNAcentral. Lineage: Eukaryota; Fungi; Glomeromycota; Glomeromycetes; Glomerales; Glomeraceae.
CAGUCGUACCUGCGGACAAUCAGCUUUUUGAGUGUGAUUAUGUGGAUUGUGAGGAGUUUAAUCACCCUCAUGUUUUACGUAUUCGUGCUCGUGGGUGUACUUGCCCGUGUGGUAGGUUAACAUCAAUUUUGGUCGUCAUAAAAUGACUGGAGGAAUGUAGCUUUGGUCUCGUAUCGAAGUGUUAUAGACUCUGGUAGAUGUGACGAUUGGGAUUGGAGGAUUGCAACGGAUACCCGUUCGGGGCUACUCGUCUGAUCUCUGAAGGUGCUCCGGUGACGGAAGCGUGCUUACGGUCGUACGAAAGUGUAUUUACGAAAAGGUUAGAACGGGUUAAAUUCGGUUAAGGAUU